UUUACAAGGAAAGCACAGAACAUCACAAGAGCAACAUGUAGGGAAGGUGAAGUGGUUGCUGGAGGGGUGGAAAGCUGUUGGGACGGUUGGGAGGUUGGAGUUGGAUGGGGUGGUGGCGGUUGUUGGAGACAUGCAGCUUCCGCGGUUCGGGGGGGACCUGCUGCGGAGGGGCCCGGCAUGUGCCGCCUCUCCUAGAACCAAGCAGUGGUGUGCCAGUGGUGGAGGAUUUGCUCAGGGAUGUGCAGGAGGGUGACAGCGCCGGGCGCAGGUGCGGGUGGCGCUGGGUGGGAUGGGCCGCGAAGCAGAAACGGCCUAAGAAGC
This 321-nucleotide long non-coding RNA is filed under the name Androctonus crassicauda. The record is from RNAcentral. Lineage: Eukaryota; Metazoa; Arthropoda; Arachnida; Scorpiones; Buthidae.